Molecule: non-coding RNA, 357 nt
Filed under: Anaerocolumna jejuensis
Lineage: Bacteria; Bacillati; Bacillota; Clostridia; Lachnospirales; Lachnospiraceae
Description: T-box sequence
Rfam family: T-box leader
About the family: Uncharged tRNA acts as the effector for transcription antitermination of genes in the T-box leader family. T-boxes are found upstream of many aminoacyl-tRNA synthetase genes and some amino acid biosynthetic genes usually in Gram-positive bacteria.
Source: RNAcentral
UGAAAUACGAUGAAAAGGAAUAGUAGACCUUAGAGAAAGAUCAGAGACCUGUUGGGUGGUGUGAAACAGGAUUUUAAAGAGGUUGAACUCGCCUUGGAGUAGCUGGCUGAACAUAGAUGUAGGCUAAGACGGAAGCCCACCGUUACAGGGGAUAGAUAUAGACUACUGAUGUAUCGAAAAAUAAUAAAGAGUGGUAUAGCAGAAGAACUUCUGUCUCUUGCAGGGAUAGAGGUUUUAUUUUUUGCAGAUAAGCUCUUUGGAUAUUGAUUUUUGAUAAUGCCUGGCAGUCUGUAUCAAUAGAGUGCAUGCAUCGGCAUGAAUAAGAGUGGUACCGCGAAAUCCCCCUUCGUCUCUUAA